Molecule: long non-coding RNA, 2311 nt
Filed under: Pomacea canaliculata
Lineage: Eukaryota; Metazoa; Mollusca; Gastropoda; Architaenioglossa; Ampullariidae
Description: uncharacterized LOC112573067, transcript variant X1
Source: RNAcentral
ACAGUUUUAAUAAAUCAACCCGGCUUAUUUAUUUAUUUUUUUAAACAUCUCCGUCCUGGUAAAAAAGACUAACAUGGGAAGCCACCCUCUAAGGCACGCAAAGAAUUUUAAGAAGCGACAUCAGAGAAAAUUGCCUCUGCGGGCCCUUACAGAACGAUAAUUUAAACUUUUUCUCUUCUUGGUGAUAAAAGGGGGUCGAGGGACUUAGAAAUAUUGGUGGGAGGUUGAUUGGAAAAGAUCCGCCCAUUGGAGGGCAGAGCCCCCCGUGCGCUUGACAGGAAUCCGGGAGGCCUCGCGCUUGGUGCUGGAAAGCGGAGCGCUGGCUGGCCGUGUGGCGGGCAGGCUGGAAGAACGUCGAGUGCGAGAUACGGUGACGACACACUCUCAACGUGACUACGGCGGCCCGUCGUGGCUUCCUGCGCCUGUCGCAGAGCUCGGAAAAACUACAGUCCCGCGUGAUGAAAGGUCACCACCACUGGAUACGGCAAUAGAUGCUCGCUUUUUUUUACUCCAGAUGCAAAAGGGGGAGAUGAAGAAGAGAGAGGGCGUGGCACCUUCAGAACAAGACUUUUCAACUACAAUGAUUUCUUUUUCCUCUACUCGACCAGUCGCUGUGAGCUAGGACGCAGAUGGGCUAAAGAGAUCAAAGGCCUGGGGAACCCCAGGGAAUCCCUAGCCAUGAACCAACUGGCAUGCUCGGGGAAACAAUCUUGGAGUCUACCUGUGAAACCUGCUCGUGGCCUCGCAGUACUAUGAACACCAGCUGCAGCAGCAGCGGCAAAGGCCACACGCACAACGGUUCACCGUCGCAAAGACAAGAGGAGCAGCGAACGUCACGCCCAAACUUUUUUUUUGUGUGUGAGGCCAUCAUCAUCCAUCAGCCCGUUUCCUUCAGCUUCGUUUGGGAGACAACCGACGGCAUAUCGCAGAUACAAGACGCAGUCCCGGCCUGGUGCGGAGCAAUAAACAAGUGACGAUCAAUAAAGAAACAUCUAUUACGCCAGCCCGCCUGUACUCCAACAUCUUGUCUCCAGACACAACUUGGGUACAGCAACCCCCAUACACCCGAGCGAUUGUUUCAGCUGCUACAGCAGGGAGAGAACCAACAGAGCUGUCAUUUCCAGAGCAAACGACUGCUGAAAGGUGGGGUGGGGGAGGGGUGCACUUAAGUGGAAGCCUGGCCGGUGCCGACAGAAAGCCAUGUGCAUGUGUUCCCAGCGCACUUUCAGGCGCAGUGUGAUGCGAGAGCUCGUGUUGAUAUUCGCCGUCUCCUGUAUGGACAUAAAGGGGCAUUCACCGCGAUAAAAGACCUACUCGACCGGAAAUAAGCUCGGAAGCAUUAUCCAUUUGAAUUGUAAUCACGUGCAGUGGAGCGCUACCUCGCGACGCACACCAUGUGAAGAAGAAUGUGAAAGAAAUGUGAACACGUCGCUUGACGAGCUCAGACGAGGGUGUGUGUGUGGUUUUCAUGUCGUUUCCACCCCUCUACCCCCUCCCCCUGUUGACAAAGGGGGCAGUGUUUCAGUUCAAUCAUGCCUGCAUGUGAUUUGGGGAUCCUUUCGCGACCAACUGGCCUGACAAGCCGAGUGGAUUAUAUAUAUACACCAGAGCCUACUCGCGAACAUGUUGACUGCCGAAUGCAUUGCAAGACUUCUGCCAACAACGGGCCCAGUAUUAUCGCAUUCACAGCGCGCAGGAUGCAGUUACAAGUGAAUCGACAAAGGGCAGCGGCUGCUACAGGCGGUAAUGAAGGCUUUGACAAGACAGUUCAGAGCAUGCGACCCCGCCCAUCCUGAGACGGCGAAGACACGAGGUAAGUCUGUGAAGAAAGCAGAAGUUACAGAUGAUAUGCUGUGGCUAAAAGAGCGCUAUUUUUACUGUUUGAAGAAAUCAAGCACAUUUCUUCUUCAUACAGCAGACCUCUGAAAGACUAAAUCCUGCCUCAAUAAAACAGGUAUGCUGUCUUACCUGGUCUUGGUUCCAUACUGUUGGGCAUUGGUAUCUGACCUGCUGCCGACCCAGGUGGCUACAAAGGAGAAAGAAAAGAAAAAUUCGUCAAGCUCAACACUACACCAAAAACCUCUUGUCUUAACUGAGGGAAAAGGACUACAUCCUGGUGAUGGGAGAGAUGGCCAGGAUCUUAAGCAAAGGUCAGAUAAUGCUUUGAGGAUUCUACUUUCACUGCUUUUUUGGUCUUUUGGAAUGAUCAGCUACUCUCCACAAACUGCCUGGCAGGCAGAGGAAGUUUUACUAGCACCAGUCGAAACAAGUCUCAAACAUACAACCUUCUGUUCUAAAGGUUGAUCAACAC